GAUGAACGCUGGCGGCGUGCCUAAUACAUGCAAGUCGAGCGAACAGAUGAGGAGCUUGCUCCUCUGACGUUAGCGGCGGACGGGUGAGUAACACGUGGAUAACCUACCUAUAAGACUGGGAUAACUUCGGGAAACCGGAGCUAAUACCGGAUAAUAUAUUGAACCGCAUGGUUCAAUAGUGAAAGACGGUUUUGCUGUCACUUAUAGAUGGAUCCGCGCCGCAUUAGCUAGUUGGUAAGGUAACGGCUUACCAAGGCAACGAUGCGUAGCCGACCUGAGAGGGUGACGGCCCACACGGAGAGUGAGACCCGGCCCAGACCCCUGGGGGGGGAGGCAGAAGGGACUCUCCCAAAAGGGGCGAAGGCCUGAGGGACAAACCCCGGGGGAGUAAGAAAGGUUUUGGGACCUAAAAACUUUUUUAUGGGGGAAAAAAAAAUGUGAAAGAAACAAGGCCCGUCUGCAGGGAACAUAACAAAAAGCCCAGGCCAAACCCGGCC
Molecule: ribosomal RNA, 497 nt
Filed under: uncultured bacterium
Lineage: Bacteria
Description: partial 16S ribosomal RNA
Rfam family: Bacterial small subunit ribosomal RNA
Source: RNAcentral